Molecule: transfer RNA, 79 nt
Filed under: Podarcis lilfordi (Lilford's wall lizard)
Lineage: Eukaryota; Metazoa; Chordata; Lepidosauria; Squamata; Lacertidae
Description: tRNA.Thr
Rfam family: tRNA (bases 9-73)
About the family: Transfer RNA (tRNA) molecules are approximately 80 nucleotides in length. Their secondary structure includes four short double-helical elements and three loops (D, anti-codon, and T loops). Further hydrogen bonds mediate the characteristic L-shaped molecular structure. tRNAs have two regions of fundamental functional importance: the anti-codon, which is responsible for specific mRNA codon recognition, and the 3' end, to which the tRNAs corresponding amino acid is attached (by aminoacyl-tRNA synthetases). tRNAs cope with the degeneracy of the genetic code in two manners: having more than one tRNA (with a specific anti-codon) for a particular amino acid; and 'wobble' base-pairing, i.e. permitting non-standard base-pairing at the 3rd anti-codon position.
Source: RNAcentral
GCCAGUGUGGUGUAGUGGUUAAGAGCGGUAGACUCGUAAUCUGGUGAACCGGGUUCACUUCCCGGCUCCUCCACAUGCA